RNAcentral lists this non-coding RNA (233 nucleotides) under Streptomyces sp. Ncost-T10-10d. RNAcentral describes it as "Streptomyces sRNA 4677". It matches the Rfam family "Streptomyces sRNA 4677". From Rfam's summary of the family: Located in the intergenic region between anti-sigma factor SCO4677 gene and a putative regulatory protein gene SCO4676. scr4677 expression requires the SCO4677 activity and scr4677 sRNA itself seem to affect the levels of the SCO4676-associated transcripts. Lineage: Bacteria; Bacillati; Actinomycetota; Actinomycetes; Kitasatosporales; Streptomycetaceae. The record is from Rfam by way of RNAcentral.
UUUUCCGCGACGCAUAAAGCUUUAAAGGACUUGGGGAAAUUACUCUCCCCACCCAAACCCGACCCCGCCCCGCUCUCGUCACUCACUCGGGUGACACAGGGCAACUGGGCUGGAUUUCACGCGGGUUGGCUGGCAUAUGCUCGCCGCGACAACUCCAGACAUGCGACGGCCCCCGACCGAGAUUCACAGUCUCAACCGGGGGCCUGACCACCGAGGAAGAAGAGACCUUCCCG